Nymphalis io (European peacock) is the source of this 458-nucleotide long non-coding RNA. RefSeq lists it as uncharacterized. The transcript has 2 exons. The record is from RefSeq and is a predicted model, not a curated record. Lineage: Eukaryota; Metazoa; Arthropoda; Insecta; Lepidoptera; Nymphalidae.
UGCCUUUAUGGAUGACAUGUUACCUUUUCCCUUGCAACUUGGUCAAUGGCCGCACGUGUGUUGUUAAGCUCGUUGUAGCAAGAUGCACGGUCAUGUUCAGCCCUGAGUUUGUAGCAAUGCGAUAAAUAUGUAUUUCAGAAAAAGCAUUUCUGCUUGUGCUUACAAACGCCGAUAUUAUAGACAAUAUUUCCUUAAUCCACAGACAGAUCCUUUUUAUUCAAUUUAUAUCCACUUUAAUAGAUCUUUAAUAGUAAAAAAUUUAAAAAUAUAAUUAAAAUGUACUUACUUAGCCUUAAGCUUGUUGAGCUGGUCGAGUUGCUCACCCAUUUCCGCAACGGCAUCGUUGUGCUUCUUGCGGAGGUUAGCGAGGGUGGACUCGUGCUGAAUGUUAGCUUCUUCCAAGUCACGACGGAGUUUGCUGAGCUCAGCCUCACGCUUCUUGUUAAGUUCAAUUUGAG